GACGUCGUUACGCCAGUCCUUCGUUGGCCCACUCGCUCUCACACACAGACACACGUAGGUGCAGUUUAGAAUCGCCAACUAAUACGCCAUUGUCAAGCUCGUAUAAAAACUGGAAGAACAUGAAAACCCCACACGGAAAAGUGCACAGGACACCUAUCUGUGGGGCGGCCAACUACAAUGAAAGAGGCAGGAGGGGUUGAUUCUCUUCUCUGCGUUGACCAAAUGUAGAAGAAAAGAUCCAGUGACCUUACUGCAUUAAUGAAAAGCAGUAAGAUCACAUUUUUUCAUGCUGUCUUCCUCUGAUGUCCUUUUCAGUUCUAUAAGGAUUAUAGUUGCCACACAACUGGUCUCAAGUGUACCAUCUGAAAAGUCAACUCAAGAAGAAAAUAGCGCUACAUAAGAAAUAGCAUUGUGUGAAAGUAAGAUUUUUGAUGGUUAUGUAAGCUCUGAAUAUGCAACUGGAUGCACAGGUAGAUCCCGACUUCAGUA
Molecule: long non-coding RNA, 489 nt
Organism: Erpetoichthys calabaricus (reedfish)
Lineage: Eukaryota; Metazoa; Chordata; Cladistia; Polypteriformes; Polypteridae
Exons: 3
Source: RefSeq, a predicted model, not a curated record